This 97-nucleotide transfer RNA is filed under the name Klebsormidium nitens. It matches the Rfam family "tRNA". Rfam says of the family: Transfer RNA (tRNA) molecules are approximately 80 nucleotides in length. The record is from Rfam by way of RNAcentral. Lineage: Eukaryota; Viridiplantae; Streptophyta; Klebsormidiophyceae; Klebsormidiales; Klebsormidiaceae.
GGGGAUGUAGCUCAGAUGGUAGAGCGCUCGCUUAGCACGAAGUCACCACGACGUCAGCACCUGCGAGAGGUAUUGGGAUCGAUACCCAACUUCUCCA